RNAcentral lists this ribosomal RNA (409 nucleotides) under uncultured bacterium. Its description in RNAcentral is "bacterial SSU rRNA". It matches the Rfam family "Bacterial small subunit ribosomal RNA", at positions 355 to 776 of the family's 1533-position model. The record is from RNAcentral.
UGGGGAAUAUUGGGCAAUGGAGGAAACCCUGACCCAGCGACGCCGCGUGCGGGAUGAAGGCCUUCGGGUUGUAAACCGCUUUCAGCAAGGAAGAAGCGAAAGUGACGGUACUUGCAGAAGAAGCACCGGCUAACUAUGUGCCAGCAGCCGCGGUAAUACAUAGGGUGCAAGCGUUGUCCGGAAUUACUGGGCGUAAAGAGCUCGUAGGUGGUUUGUCGCGUUGUUCGUGAAAUCUCACAACUCAAUUGUGAGCGUGCGGGCGAUACGGGCAGACUGGAGUACUGCAGGGGAGACUGGAAUUCCUGGUGUAGCGGUGGAAUGCGCAGAUAUCAGGAGGAACACCAAUGGCGAAGGCAGGUCUCUGGGCCAUUACUGACACUGAGGAGUGAAAGUGUGGGGAGCGAACAGG